GACGAACGCUGGCGGCGUGCUUAACACAUGCAAGUCGAACGGAAAGGCCCCUUUGGGGGUCCUCGAGUGGCGAACGGGUGAGUAACACGUGAGUAACCUGCCCUUGACUUCGGGAUAACUUCAGGAAACUGGGGCUAAUACCGGAUAGGAAUCCUUGCUGCAUGGUGGGGGUUGGAAAGCUUCGGCGGUUUUGGAUGGACUCGCGGCGUAUCAGCUUGUUGGUGGGGUAGUGGCUUACCAAGGCUUUGACGGGUAGCCGGCCUGAGAGGGCCACCGGCCACAUUGGGACUGAGAUACGGCCCAGACUCCUACGGGAGGCAGCAGUGGGGAAUAUUGCACAAUGGGCGGAAGCCUGAUGCAGCAACGCCGCGUGCGGGAUGACGGCCUUCGGGUUGUAAACCGCUUUCAGCAGGGGCGAAGCUUGUGGUGACGGUACCUGCAGAAGAAGCACCGGCUAACUACGUG
RNAcentral lists this ribosomal RNA (465 nucleotides) under uncultured bacterium. RNAcentral describes it as "partial 16S ribosomal RNA". It matches the Rfam family "Bacterial small subunit ribosomal RNA", at positions 28 to 507 of the family's 1533-position model. The record is from RNAcentral.